CAUCUUUUCUUGUUAGUUUUUGAAGUAUGGCCUGCCCGCUGACUUUGGUGUUGAAGGGCCGCGGUAUUUUGACCGUGCAAAGGUAGCAUAGUCAUUAGUUCUUUAAUUGUGAUCUGGUAUGAAUGGCUUGACGAGGCAUGGGCUGUCUUAAUUUUGAAUUGUUUAUUGAAUUUAGUCUUUGAGUUAAAAUUCUUAGAUGUUUUUAUGGGACGAGAAGACCCUAUAGAGUUUGACAUUUGUUACGGCUCCCUUCUGUUUGUGAGGGUUCAUUGGGCCGUUUAAUAUGUUUUGUUGGGGUGAUGGGAGGGAUUAAUGAACCCCUCCUUUUGUUAUUAUAUUUAUUUAUAUUUACUUGAUCCAUUUAUUUUGAUUGUAAGAUUAAAUUACC
Molecule: ribosomal RNA, 388 nt
Filed under: Reticulitermes leptomandibularis
Lineage: Eukaryota; Metazoa; Arthropoda; Insecta; Blattodea; Rhinotermitidae
Description: partial 16S ribosomal RNA
Source: RNAcentral